RNAcentral lists this transfer RNA (33 nucleotides) under Urocyon cinereoargenteus (gray fox). RNAcentral describes it as "partial tRNA-Pro". Lineage: Eukaryota; Metazoa; Chordata; Mammalia; Carnivora; Canidae. The record is from RNAcentral.
CAGGGAAUAGUUUAAGAAGAAUUUCAGCUUUGG